This 101-nucleotide ribosomal RNA is filed under the name uncultured bacterium. RNAcentral's name for it is "partial 16S ribosomal RNA". It matches the Rfam family "Bacterial small subunit ribosomal RNA", at positions 392 to 508 of the family's 1533-position model. The record is from RNAcentral.
CAACGCCGCGUGGAGGAUGAAAUCCCUUGGGAUGUAAACUCCUUUCGAUCGGGACGAUUAUGACGGUACCGGAAGAAGAAGCCCCGGCUAAACUUUCGUGC